GGAGAUGUGGCUCAGGGGUUAAGAGCACUGACUGUUGUUCCAGAGGACCCAGGUUCAAUUCCUAGCACCCACA
Molecule: transfer RNA, 73 nt
Filed under: Mesocricetus auratus (golden hamster)
Lineage: Eukaryota; Metazoa; Chordata; Mammalia; Rodentia; Cricetidae
Rfam family: tRNA
About the family: Transfer RNA (tRNA) molecules are approximately 80 nucleotides in length. Their secondary structure includes four short double-helical elements and three loops (D, anti-codon, and T loops).
Source: Rfam by way of RNAcentral